This 530-nucleotide long non-coding RNA is filed under the name Homo sapiens (human). Its description in RNAcentral is "HSALNT0060377". The record is from RNAcentral. Lineage: Eukaryota; Metazoa; Chordata; Mammalia; Primates; Hominidae.
GUCUUUUCCCGCCGUGCCCCGCGCGCGGCCUUUCACGCCGGGAUCCGGGUCCCGGUGCUUCUCGGUUCAUUCCCAGCUGGGUCCGGGCCCGGCCAGACUGGGUGGAAAUCUGGCUGACCUUGGUGGUCUGUCUUGGCCAGCUGGAGCAAAGGGAUGCCAGGGGACGGGUCUCGGUGCAGUGACUGCCAUUAGCUUGGGGCCGCAGAAAGUUUCUCCCCUUUCUCGGGCUCCUGCCAGGCCCUUGGCUUUCAGAGCCAGGCCCGAUUUCUAGAUAACAUUUAAGUUUGCAGAAAAGGGGAUGCCAAGUCACGGUGGUCACGGCUGUGGGAUGCAGCCUCUGAGAUUUGUAUUAAUUUUUGUGAGCCGGGGAAAGGCCUUGCUGCUUUCUCCGCCAGGACUGAUGUGUCUUCCCAAGAUGAAAGUGCCUGGAGAAGAGAAGACAGAACAGAAAUUUGUAUCCUGCUACAAUUACAGUGUUAUCAAACUAUAGUCCUAUAUGGAUGAGGACUGAAGGAGGAAUGCUGAGACUG